UUAGAGUUUUGAUCUGGCUCAGAUUGAAUGCUGGCGGCAGGCUUAACACUUUCAAGUCGAGCGGAGAGAGGUAGCUUGCUACUGAUCUUAGCGGCGGACGGGUGAGUAAUGCUUAGGAAUCUGCCUAUUAGUGGGGGACAACAUUUCGAAAGGAAUGCUAAUACCGCAUACGUCCUACGGGAGAAAGCAGGGGAUCUUCGGACCUUGCGCUAAUAGAUGAGCCUAAGUCGGAUUAGCUAGUUGGUGGGGUAAAGGCCUACCAAGGCGACGAUCUGUAGCGGGUCUGAGAGGAUGAUCCGCCACACUGGGACUGAGACACGGCCCAGACUCCUACGGGAGGCAGCAGUGGGGAAUAUUGGACAAUGGGCGCAAGCCUGAUCCAGCCAUGCCGCGUGUGUGAAGAAGGCCUUAUGGUUGUAAAGCACUUUAAGCGAGGAGGAGGCUACUUUAGUUAAUACCUAGAGAUAGUGGACGUUACUCGCAGAAUAAGCACCGGCUAACUC
RNAcentral lists this ribosomal RNA (503 nucleotides) under uncultured Acinetobacter sp. RNAcentral describes it as "bacterial SSU rRNA". It matches the Rfam family "Bacterial small subunit ribosomal RNA", at positions 1 to 503 of the family's 1533-position model. Lineage: Bacteria; Pseudomonadati; Pseudomonadota; Gammaproteobacteria; Moraxellales; Moraxellaceae. The record is from RNAcentral.